Long non-coding RNA from Brassica oleracea var. oleracea, 595 nucleotides. RefSeq lists it as uncharacterized. NCBI's taxonomy places the organism in Eukaryota, Viridiplantae, Streptophyta, Magnoliopsida, Brassicales, Brassicaceae. The record is from RefSeq and is a predicted model, not a curated record. The transcript has 2 exons.
AUAAAAUGUCUAUAUUGCCCUUAAUAAAAUUCAAAUAUCACAAACCUAAACCAGUAUCUCUCUCUGCCGUCGACACUCAACUCUCUCUCGAACCUCUCUUUCUCUCUCGGAUCACUCUCUCUUGAAACUCCAUGAGAGGAGCUUGAGCUCUCUCUCUCUCUCCAUGCCUCUCUCUUUCUCCGCCUCCCUCUCUCUCUGUGCCGCUCUCUGUCUGCCUCUCUCUCCGCGCCUCUCUCUCUUCGUGCCUCUCUCUGUCUGCCUCUCUCUCUCUCUCGCCGCAUCUGGUUGAUAAUGACGAUUCUGUUUGAAAACGCAUGCUCUGUUGGUUCAUGGCUAUGACAUUUGGAUUGACUCCAUGGCUAUUACAUUUGGAUUGAGAGUCAAUGCUGGUUCUUAGGAACUUGUAUUGUGGUUUUGUUAUGUGGGUUCUAAUUACUUGUUUGCUAUGAGUCUGAGAUCAUUCUGUGUUGAGUGCUUUGUUUGCUAUGAGUUUGAGAUCAUUUUGUGCUGAGUGCUUUGUUUGAUAUGAAUCGAAGAUCAUACUAUGCUGAAAUAUUUUGAAACUUAUAAAUUUAUGAAUUUAUGAAUGUCAAAA